Bubalus bubalis (water buffalo) is the source of this 1461-nucleotide long non-coding RNA. RefSeq lists it as uncharacterized. The record is from RefSeq and is a predicted model, not a curated record. NCBI's taxonomy places the organism in Eukaryota, Metazoa, Chordata, Mammalia, Artiodactyla, Bovidae. The transcript has 3 exons.
GCCAAAUGAGUGUCUGUGAUGCUCCGCCACCUGUCAAAGCAGAGAGGGCUCCUGCAGGUGGAGCCCAGGGGGCCCUUCUACUGGCUGCAGCUCCAGCCCCACCCCCUUCUCAGUGCUUAAACCUCCCAGCCUCACUGAGUCUCCACUAUCCAGGAAAGGAAGCUCCACAUUCAAAGGCCUGCAAAGAAUAGCACACAUAGCUGGAAGAGAACUCAGAGGAGAGGAUCUCAGCAAGAAGUUGCCAUGGACCUGAUCCCAUACUUUUCCACGGAAUCCUGGUUCUCCUGGUUACUAGUCUGGUGCUCCUGUAUUUAUGCGGGACUUAUUCACAUGGAUUUUUUAAGAAGCUGGGGAUUCCUGGACCAAAACCUCUGCCUUAUUUUGGAAAUAUUCUGUCCUACAAAACUGUGCGUGCUGUUUGAGCUCCAGCUUUGCUUCUUGUGGUUGCAAAUCCCAGGAACCAUCAAAUUACUGAGUGGCUGCACCAUUUUAUGUUCCGCCAACAGCGCACAAGCUCUCCAGUUUCUCCACGUCUUUACCAACAGUGCUCAUCUCUGCUGUUUUAGUAGUAGCCAUCUUAAUGAGCAUGAUGUGGUAUCUCAUCAUGGCUUUUGUUUGUUUUUAUUAAAGAGUGAGACUCAUUUCUCCUACUGCUGUUAAGAUGUGGAUGACAUUUGACAUUGUGUUAGUUCAAGGUGUACAAGACAAUGAUUCAAUGUACGCAUAUAUUCCAAAAUGAUUACCAAAAUGGGUUUUGUUAAUUUACCUCAAGUAGUUAUAGCUUUUUCUUUUAUUGAACUUUUAUUUUAGUUUAGUCCUUUUAUAAGAAAAAGAUGUAAUCUCUUGGCAACUUUCAAAUAUACAAUUCAUAGUGUUAACUGUAGUCACCAUGCUAUAUAUUAUACCCUUCAAACUAAUUUAUCUUACUACUGGGAAUUCUUACAUUUUGAUCACCUUUUCCUGUUUCCCUCACCCCUAGCCCCAGCUCUGGAAAUUACUAAUCCGUUUUCUGUAUCUAAAAGUGGAGGGUUUUUUUGAUCCUACACACAAGUGAUAUCAUAGAGAAUUUGUCUUUCUCUGACUUAUUUCACUUAGCACAAUGUCCUCAAGGUCCACCCAUGUUGUCACAAAUGACAAGAAUUCUUUAUUUUUUAUAGAACUAAUAUUCCAUUGUAUAUACAUGCCACCUUUUCUUUAUCCAUUCAUCCAUAGACAGACACUGAGGUUGUUUCCAUAUCUUGACUACUAUUAAUAAUACUGCAGUGAACAUGGGGGGAAGAUAACUUUUCAAGAUGGAGAUUUCAUUUACUUGAAUUUCUACCCAGAACUGGAAUUCCUAGAUCAUAAUGUGGUUCUAUUUUUAAUUAUUGAGGAACCUGAAUAUUUUUUCAAUAGUAACUCUACCAAUUUACAUUCCCAAGAUCCUGAUGCUGGGAAAGAUUGAGGGCAAGAGGAGAAGGG